Molecule: ribosomal RNA, 1161 nt
Filed under: Escherichia coli
Lineage: Bacteria; Pseudomonadati; Pseudomonadota; Gammaproteobacteria; Enterobacterales; Enterobacteriaceae
Description: partial 23S ribosomal RNA
Rfam family: Bacterial large subunit ribosomal RNA
Source: RNAcentral
AUAAUGGGUCAGCGACUUAUAUUCUGUAGCAAGGUUAACCGAAUAGGGGAGCCGAAGGGAAACCGAGUCUUAACUGGGCGUUAAGUUGCAGGGUAUAGACCCGAAACCCGGUGAUCUAGCCAUGGGCAGGUUGAAGGUUGGGUAACACUAACUGGAGGACCGAACCGACUAAUGUUGAAAAAUUAGCGGAUGACUUGUGGCUGGGGGUGAAAGGCCAAUCAAACCGGGAGAUAGCUGGUUCUCCCCGAAAGCUAUUUAGGUAGCGCCUCGUGAAUUCAUCUCCGGGGGUAGAGCACUGUUUCGGCAAGGGGGUCAUCCCGACUUACCAACCCGAUGCAAACUGCGAAUACCGGAGAAUGUUAUCACGGGAGACACACGGCGGGUGCUAACGUCCGUCGUGAAGAGGGAAACAACCCAGACCGCCAGCUAAGGUCCCAAAGUCAUGGUUAAGUGGGAAACGAUGUGGGAAGGCCCAGACAGCCAGGAUGUUGGCUUAGAAGCAGCCAUCAUUUAAAGAAAGCGUAAUAGCUCACUGGUCGAGUCGGCCUGCGCGGAAGAUGUAACGGGGCUAAACCAUGCACCGAAGCUGCGGCAGCGACGCUUAUGCGUUGUUGGGUAGGGGAGCGUUCUGUAAGCCUGUGAAGGUGUGCUGUGAGGCAUGCUGGAGGUAUCAGAAGUGCGAAUGCUGACAUAAGUAACGAUAAAGCGGGUGAAAAGCCCGCUCGCCGGAAGACCAAGGGUUCCUGUCCAACGUUAAUCGGGGCAGGGUGAGUCGACCCCUAAGGCGAGGCCGAAAGGCGUAGUCGAUGGGAAACAGGUUAAUAUUCCUGUACUUGGUGUUACUGCGAAGGGGGGACGGAGAAGGCUAUGUUGGCCGGGCGACGGUUGUCCCGGUUUAAGCGUGUAGGCUGGUUUUCCAGGCAAAUCCGGAAAAUCAAGGCUGAGGCGUGAUGACGAGGCACUACGGUGCUGAAGCAACAAAUGCCCUGCUUCCAGGAAAAGCCUCUAAGCAUCAGGUAACAUCAAAUCGUACCCCAAACCGACACAGGUGGUCAGGUAGAGAAUACCAAGGCGCUUGAGAGAACUCGGGUGAAGGAACUAGGCAAAAUGGUGCCGUAACUUCGGGAGAAGGCACGCUGAUAUGUAGGUGAAGUCCCUCGC